RNAcentral lists this ribosomal RNA (639 nucleotides) under Triticum aestivum (bread wheat). RNAcentral describes it as "partial small subunit ribosomal RNA". The record is from RNAcentral. Lineage: Eukaryota; Viridiplantae; Streptophyta; Magnoliopsida; Poales; Poaceae.
AUGGCGGCGGCUAGAAGGGCAGCAGCAGCCAGAGGGGCGUCAACCGGUCCAGCAGCGACCUUGACGGAGGAGAAGGGCCAGGCAGGAUUCGUGCCCCUGCACCUUCAGGGGAAAGAGCUUCUUCCUGGAUCACCAAACUGUAGCAGAUCAUGUGAUGUUAAGCAUGAGGAAACUGCGGAAGAGGAGAGUGAUGAUGACACAUAUGCUGACUUCUACUACUGCCACUCAAGGGCCGCGAACAGACUACUUGACGACGAAAAACAUGAAAUAAUCGGGUUGGCUUCAAUCCAACCAGGCAAUCCAGCAUUCAUGACAUUUCUGCUAAGGUCCCAUCUGCAACGCAAGGACAACUUUCUGGUCAUCCCCAGUGAAUUUGUAGAUGAACAUCUCCACAUGAGAUUACAUGAGGUUGUGCUGCUCAGGCCAAACAGAGAAGAGAGGUGGCAUGUCAGCUACUACCACCAGGGGAGCUCUAGCAGAGGCUUCAGGGGCCAACCUUGGGCCAAGUUCGUCAGCGACAACAAACUGCACAAGGGGGAUAUCUGCGUCUUCGAGCUGAUCAAUGGCGCGAGGAAUGAGAAGAAGGCCAGGACGACGAUGACCGUCCAUGUUGUUAGGAGGAACAAGUCCGACGUGUAG